This 449-nucleotide ribosomal RNA is filed under the name uncultured bacterium. RNAcentral describes it as "partial 16S ribosomal RNA". It matches the Rfam family "Bacterial small subunit ribosomal RNA", at positions 29 to 523 of the family's 1533-position model. The record is from RNAcentral.
AACGAACGCUGGCGGCAGGCUUAACACAUGCAAGUCGAACGAGAUCUUCGGAUCUAGUGGCAGACGGGUGAGGAACGCGUGGGAACAUCCCUUUCAGUUCGGAAUAACGUUGGGAAACUAACGCUAAUACCGGAUACGUCCUUCGGGAGAAAGAUUUAUCGCUGAAAAAUUGGCCCGCGUCUGAUUAGCUAGUUGGUGAGGUAAUGGCUCACCAAGGCUACGAUCAGUAGCUGAUCUGAGAGGAUGAUCAGCCACAUUGGGACUGAGACACGGCCCAAACUCCUACGGGAGGCAGCAGUGGGGAAUAUUGGACAAUGGGCGCAAGCCUGAUCCAGCCAUGCCGCGUGAGUGAUGACGGCCUUCGGGUUGUAAAGCUCUUUUGUCCGGGAAGAUAAUGACUGUACCGGAAGAAUAAGCCCCGGCAAACUUCGUGCCAGCCGCCGCAGUAA